ACUUUCAGAAGCUUUUAAAAGGAAAGGACCUUAGACUAGAAAUGAUGCCUUACUACAAGUGACAGCAUCUGGAAUCUGACACUAUGAAACUGGGGCCUAAAUUGCAAUGGUCAUCCCGCGUGGUAGAGAUACAGGGAAUACAGAACGCAUCCUAAGGAAAGCUGAACCCAGUGGAGCCAGCCCAAAGUGAUGCAGCGCCAUCCGGAUGCCACCUCCAUGAAGCCCGCAGGGUAUGUUUGCCACCAGCUAUGGGAAGCACGUGACUCGAGCUUCACUUUCACGGUUGCUCGCGGCUAAGACGUAGCUCUGAGUUUCAGAAGAGACUCUGGAUUUGGAUUUCUGAAUGGCGUUGGGACUGUGACCUCAAGAAGACCUGGAUACCGCGAAAAGACCGUGUUUUACCAGAUUCACUGCACCAUUCGAAAUCUUCUGAGAUCAUAAAUAGACAAAGAAUUACUCCCAGGCUCCUCCCACCAGUGGUGAAGAUGUUCUGAAUGCCUCUGCUUUCUUAUUUUCUCUCCCACCCCUAACAAGGACACUUUAUUGGUAGAACUGGGGAAUCCUCACCAUACAUAGUUUUUGUAGCUUUUUUGGAAGCAAUAUUAUGAUUAAGAAAAUAAAAAUUACAUGAAGAAUA
RNAcentral lists this long non-coding RNA (637 nucleotides) under Mus musculus (house mouse). RNAcentral's name for it is "predicted gene, 35021, transcript variant 2 (Gm35021)". Lineage: Eukaryota; Metazoa; Chordata; Mammalia; Rodentia; Muridae. The record is from RNAcentral.